CCUCUCCCCUCUCUCUCUCUCUCUCUCUCUCUCUCUCUCUCUCUCUCUCUCUCUCUCUCUCUCUCUCUCUCUCUCUCUCCUCCAUCUGUGUCUUCCCCAUGGUAUGUUGCUGUGCAGCUCGAUUCCAAAUGGUUCAGACUGGGAUAGAAAGGAGAGGUGCAUUUUACAGUAAUUUGCCAACACUUGACUGCUCUCUCUCUCUGUCUCUCUCUCUCUCUCGGUCUCGUGUUUACUCUUGAGGACCUUGGUACCCCUGACCAGUCUGGCGUGCAGCACCAUUCUGCCUCCGGUGGUGUGGCCUUGAGUCUCUGUGUGCUGCACCACUCAGGUGGUGUGGCCUUGAGUCUCUGUGUGCUGUAACACAGAUCAGACUUCACUCUCUGCCGGUAGCAGCUCUUGUGACCGACUCUCCCUCCCUCCCUCGUGUAGUUUAGCGUUGGGUCCUCGCACCUGACUGGCUGACCAAUCGGUGGCUUGCGGUAGCUCAAUUCCUGACCCUAGCCUGCCACGCCAUGCCACGCCACGCCACACUCCAGUGGCGUCUGUGUGAGGCUUGGAGGGGUGGGGGUGCUGUAAGACUGGCACAAGCAGUGGGGCAGCCCGCGCUCGCUGCACACUCCAGAACUGGCCCCAUCUCUGGCGUCGACCCGCUCCAGAGUCGGCCGCCGUCGCGAGGAGUUGACCUUCAGAGACGCCUGUGGGGACCAGCGGCAGCCACACUGACAUGAGGCCAGGCGUCUGCUGAGCCUUGAACGCUGCACUUUAGGGGGCCUUCAGGAGCAGCCCUGAAUAUGCGCUUUCCUACAGUCCUACACAAUCCAACUGAACCAGUGACCAUUAGAUAAAAAUGAAAGAAAAGUGAAAAAUUGAUCUCCAUACUUGUGGAGAAAUGAUAUUACCAAACAACAUUCUUAGAACCGCAGUCCUUGAAAUUGUGUUUUGAACCACUAGUUCAAGUUUGAGGAGCAAAAAAAAUAAAAAAAACUGUGUGCGGUCUUAUAAAAAAAAUCUGGAGUUUACUACUGUUUGCUGGGGAGAGUAAAGUCUUAAGGUUUUACAGUUAAAUUACUCUGAAGGAAAGGUAGCGUCUGAAUCUCUGAGAGCCUCACUCACCUGGGCUGAUGUGUAGGUCCCAAUGGAAAUCCACAUAAUAUCUUCUCUCUCUCUCUCUCUCUCUCUCUCUCUCUCUCUCUCUCUCUCUCUCUCUCUCUCUCUCUCUCUCUCUCUCUCUCUCUCUCUCUCUCUCUC
Molecule: long non-coding RNA, 1248 nt
Organism: Alosa alosa (allis shad)
Lineage: Eukaryota; Metazoa; Chordata; Actinopteri; Clupeiformes; Clupeidae
Exons: 2
Source: RefSeq, a predicted model, not a curated record